This 646-nucleotide ribosomal RNA is filed under the name Apiotrichum porosum. RNAcentral's name for it is "LSU rRNA". It matches the Rfam family "Eukaryotic large subunit ribosomal RNA", at positions 22 to 658 of the family's 3401-position model. Lineage: Eukaryota; Fungi; Basidiomycota; Tremellomycetes; Trichosporonales; Trichosporonaceae. The record is from RNAcentral.
CUACCCGCUGAACUUAAGCAUAUCAAUAAGCGGAGGAAAAGAAACUAACAAGGAUUCCCCUAGUAACGGCGAGUGAACCGGGAAGAGCUCAAAUUUGAAAUCUGGCAGUCUUCGAUUGUCCGAGUUGUAAUCUAUAGAAGCGUUUUCCGUGCUGAACUGUGUAUAAGUCCCUUGGAACAGGGUAUCAAAGAGGGUGACAAUCCCGUACUUUACACAAUCAUCAGUGCUCUGUGAUACGUUCUCUACGAGUCGAGUUGUUUGGGAAUGCAGCUCAAAAUGGGUGGUAAAUUCCAUCUAAAGCUAAAUAUUGGCGAGAGACCGAUAGCGAACAAGUACCGUGAGGGAAAGAUGAAAAGCACUUUGGAAAGAGAGUUAAACAGUACGUGAAAUUGUUGAAAGGGAAACGAAAUUCAUGAAUCAUGUUUAUUGGACUCAGCCGUUCUUCGGUGUACUUCCUUUAAACGGGUCAACAUCAGUUUUGUCCGAUGGAUAAAGGUAGUAGGAAGGUGGCUCUCUCGGGAGUGUUAUAGCCUAUUGCUGCAUACAUUGGAUGAGACUGAGGACUGCAGCUUGCCUUUAUGGCCGGGGUUCGCCCACGUUCAAGCUUAGGAUGUUGACAUAUUCUCGAAUCACGACCCGUCUUGAA